This 635-nucleotide long non-coding RNA is filed under the name Phoenix dactylifera (date palm). RNAcentral describes it as "long non-coding RNA (PDAC_LNC020235)". The record is from RNAcentral. Lineage: Eukaryota; Viridiplantae; Streptophyta; Magnoliopsida; Arecales; Arecaceae.
UCCAAGGUUGAGGGUGGUGUUGGUGGUUUGCCUUGGGACCGACUUGCUGUGGGUAUCUUCCUCCUUCUUGUUGCCGUGGAAUCCACGCCGUAUGCUUGCCUUCGGGCUGCCGGCGAUGGGAUGAAACCAAUGGGGCUCAAUGUUGGAAGAAAAGUGAUUUCAUUCCACUAAACAACGGAUUACAAAUAGGACUCGGCAAAGGUCGGGAAGGGACCUUGCACAACCUAAGAACAACCUAGGGGGGCUGAUGUUCCCCACCCUAGUCCCAAGCCUUUCGGCCGACAAAAGAAAGGGAUACAACCCUUGACACAAUGGUGGAAAAACAAUGUUCUAAGAGAUGAUUGCCUAAGGGCCCUAAUGGCUCCUUUUAAUGGCCGACGGCCUUGGCUUAUUUUUGGACUAAAACCCUAAUGAAAAGGACUCCUAAUUCGGCCGCAAUGGCCUGGUCAAUCUUGGCCUUUGGUUCGGCCAUGUGCUGCAGAUGGUUGGGCGCUCGGGAUUUGCUGUUGGCGUGGCUUCUGUGCGUGGCAUUUGCUGUGGCUGCCAUCUGUCCGUGCGCAGCCAGAUUUGGUUGCUGCGCCGGGCGGCUGGGCUGGGUUUCCUGUUGUGCCGAGCUUGCUUCCUGGUUUGCCAUG